Molecule: long non-coding RNA, 534 nt
Organism: Bos taurus (domestic cattle)
Lineage: Eukaryota; Metazoa; Chordata; Mammalia; Artiodactyla; Bovidae
Source: Ensembl
AGAUUCUCCUGGAGAAGGAAAUGGCAACCUGCUCUGUUCCAGACAAAACUCAGCAGAUAAUCUCAGCGCUUGCACCACGACUGCUAAUCCUGCACGCAAGACAGACAGCACGAAACGAACAGGAUGGCAGACAGCACCAAUCGAUGGCGGACAGUCUUUCCCACUGAGCAAAUCCUUCUCAACGCUGUGCUUCCAAGUGGCCAUUAGGAAUCAAUUCAUCUUGAUGAAGAAGCCAAAACUCAUUUGCCGUUCCCAAUUCUUGAGCAUGACCUCCAGAAAUUCCUGAAAUCAUUGAAAAUGACUCAGAGUAUUUCCCUCAGGGAGUCUGAUCCUGCUGACUCUUAAUUCUCUCCUGCUAACCUACCCCCACCACUGUCUCUGUUCCCGAGGGAUUUCGGGAUUUGGAGUUUUGCUACCCCACCCCCCUCCUCGUUUCUUUCUUUUUUUUUUAAACAGAAAAAGAAACCGAAGCCCCAGAGAUUAAAAGACUCGCUCAAGGUCACAGAAUGAGUUUGCAUCAAAUUUGAAGUAAAA